This 505-nucleotide ribosomal RNA is filed under the name uncultured bacterium. Its description in RNAcentral is "partial 16S ribosomal RNA". It matches the Rfam family "Bacterial small subunit ribosomal RNA", at positions 30 to 523 of the family's 1533-position model. The record is from RNAcentral.
AUUGAACGCUGGCGGCAUGCCUUACACAUGCAAGUCGAACGGCAGCGGGGGAGAAGCUUGCUUUUCCUGCCGGCGAGUGGCGAACGGGUGAGUAAUACAUCGGAACGUGCCCUGUGGGGGGUAACUAGUCGAAAGAUUAGCUAAUACCGCAUACGACCUGAGGGUGAAAGUGGGGGACCGCAAGGCCUCAUGCUAUAGGAGCGGCCGAUGUCUGAUUAGCUAGUUGGUGGGGUAAAGGCCUACCAAGGCGACGAUCAGUAGCUGGUCUGAGAGGACGAUCAGCCACACUGGGACUGAGACACGGCCCAGACUCCUACGGGAGGCAGCAGUGGGGAAUUUUGGACAAUGGGCGAAAGCCUGAUCCAGCAAUGCCGCGUGUGUGAAGAAGGCCUUCGGGUUGUAAAGCACUUUUGUCCGGAAAGAAAUGGCUCUGGUUAAUACCUGGGGUCGAUGACGGUACCGGAAGAAUAAGGACCGGCUAACUACGUGCCAGCCGCCGCAGUAA